This 28-nucleotide non-coding RNA is filed under the name Mus musculus (house mouse). The record is from RNAcentral. Lineage: Eukaryota; Metazoa; Chordata; Mammalia; Rodentia; Muridae.
UGACAAUGCAAUCAUUUGACUUAGAAUC